This 542-nucleotide ribosomal RNA is filed under the name uncultured bacterium. Its description in RNAcentral is "partial 16S ribosomal RNA". It matches the Rfam family "Bacterial small subunit ribosomal RNA", at positions 355 to 889 of the family's 1533-position model. The record is from RNAcentral.
UGGGGAAUUUUGGACAAUGGGCGCAAGCCUGAUCCAGCCAUGCCGCGUGCGGGAAGAAGGCCUUCGGGUUGUAAACCGCUUUUGUCAGGGAAGAAAUCUUCUGAGUUAAUACCUCGGGAGGAUGACGGUACCUGAAGAAUAAGCACCGGCUAACUACGUGCCAGCAGCCGCGGUAAUACGUAGGGUGCAAGCGUUAAUCGGAAUUACUGGGCGUAAAGCGUGCGCAGGCGGUUUUGUAAGACAGAGGUGAAAUCCCCGGGCUCAACCUGGGAACUGCCUUUGUGACUGCAAGGCUUGAGUGCGGCAGAGGGGGAUGGAAUUCCGCGUGUAGCAGUGAAAUGCGUAGAUAUGCGGAGGAACACCGAUGGCGAAGGCAAUCCCCUGGGCCUGCACUGACGCUCAUGCACGAAAGCGUGGGGAGCAAACAGGAUUAGAUACCCUGGUAGUCCACGCCCUAAACGAUGUCAACUGGUUGUUGGGAAGGUUCCUUCUCAGUAACGUAGCUAACGCGUGAAGUUGACCGCCUGGGGGAGUACGGCCGC